RNAcentral lists this long non-coding RNA (2190 nucleotides) under Homo sapiens (human). RNAcentral describes it as "non-protein coding lnc-USP12-6:1". Lineage: Eukaryota; Metazoa; Chordata; Mammalia; Primates; Hominidae. The record is from RNAcentral.
CAAAUGUCCUUGAUUCUUUCUCCCCAAACUAACAAGAUCUUAAUUAAGCUUCACUCCGGCAGACAAUUCAGAGAUAAGCUAAGUGCCAGUUGCCGGGGCGCUUCUAGAGGCCAAGGCUUUAACAGCCACCAUCCAGUCAUGGGAAGACUAGGACUGGGAAGUGGAAUUUUAUUGCCAAAGUGGGAUGCUUUUGAGAGUAAAAGAGGUGCUAUUAAUACGUAUACAGGAAUAACAGCUGUAAACCAGAACUGUCUUAGGCAAACUGGGAUGUAUGAUCCCCCUUUCUAGAAUGGUGUUUUUCAGAAGCACUCUGCAAUGCAAAAAAUGUAGUCUGCUUUUCGGCAUGUAACUCAGAACUCCUGCUGAUGAACAGGAAUCCUCCAAGACAAAUCUGACUCCUGCUUCCAUUUCCCCUAGAGCACAGAACAGGAGCACAGCCCCAGAUGCUGCUGGGUUGGGGCCACUUUAUAAAGCCCCUCUGGACCUCCAGGACAUGGAAAAGAUGCAUGCAAUGCUCCCCUGGGGAAGUAGCAACCAGCCUGGAAUCUCAGGGACUCUUUGAAGAUGUGCGGGCAGGAGGGAGGAAAUUCUUGUAGCUGGGUGGGGUCAGAACACAGGCCUUUGCUCCUUGAUAGUAUUUUUAGAAAAGGAUCUUUGAAAAUGGGAAGGCAGGUAUGACAGCAGGGUGAUUCAUUGGCUGUGCCUCUGCACUGGAUGUCUUGGGGGCUGGGCAUGAGGUCCCGGACGCGUGUGGAUCACAGAAGGGCAUGGGCUGGUACCAUGAAGCAGGCAGGAACCCAGAGCACUGCAACUGCGCUGUGAACUCUUAGGUAGACCAGAGAGGUGAGGCGGGAACCUGGAAUUUGGAUGUACUUGCAGAGCUGGGAUGGCGCUGACACAGCCUCCUGUGUCACAGCUUCCAUCUCGGUGCGCGGGUCAGAAUGAGCACCAACGCACACGCAGGAUCAUGACUCACCUCCCGCCUGUCCCCCCUUGCCUUGCUGUCAGGCCUUACUGCUGAGAUACCACGUGUGUAGUUCUAUGUGUGCUUGGGCACUCAACAGAGAGAGAGCUGAGAUCUGCUCAGCUUUCUACUUAGCCAACGAAUGUCCCACCUUCUGAGACUUCCCAGGUGCAAAACCCAGCAUUCUCCUCCUAGUGAGAGGCAGCUGCCCUGCAGGGAUGGACAGGCACUAGCUGACCCUCCAGGCUGAGGCGAUGACAACCGGGAAAGAUUUUCCAUGCCUUUUUUGGUUCUACAAAAGAAAAAAAAAACAGGAAGACUGAAAGAAUGGUUUAUAAUUGAUUCUUAACAAGGAAGGAUAAUUAAACUAAUAAUAGUGCUAACGAUAAUAAUUACUAGAUGCAGUAGCAAACAUUCUUAAAUUCAGCAUUUCAACUAAUCCUCACAAGGACCCGCUGAGGUUGGUAUCAUUAGCUCCAUAUUUGAGCUGGAGAAACAGAGGCAGAGAGAGGCUGAAUUGCUUGCUUGCCUGACAUCGCACUGCUGGGAAGUGGCGCCAGUGUGGGAGCUGUCCUGGUUCAUGUGGGACACAGGGACAAUGACAAUUGGCCAGACAAGAAUGUCCUUGGGCUCCCACUAUCAAAUCCCACAGCUUCCCCUGUGUUUCUCUCUAUUCUUUCCCCUUUCUAAAUCGUGAGGAAGGCAAAGGUGGCCCUGCCUGUCCCAGGCUUGGGCAUACUGAGGGGCCCUUCUCCUCUCUCUGCUCCAGCUUUUCUUAUUCCCCAUCGGGUCCUCCCAUCAGCACUUACUGUCUCACGUCUCCCGUGAAAAAGAAACAGACAAAAGCUCUCUUCCUGGGGGGCUUCCUCCCUCUUCUCUGUGCUUCCUUCCUGUGCCACUAAAUUUCUAGCAAGAACUUGGGUGCGUCCACUUCACAGCCCGCUGCCAUUUGCAUUCUGCCCCCAUCAGCACGGCCCGGUCACCCAUCAGCUCAUAACUGAACCCAGCGUCCGCCUCUGUCCCUGUCCCGCUCGCCUUCUCGGAGGAUUCGAGAGCGGCCACUCCUUCCUGGCUGCAGCGCUCCCCUCUCUCCCUUUCCUCACGACACCUCCUCCUGAUUCUCCCUCUCUUCCCCCAGCCGCUCCUUCCCAGUUUGCUUUACAGAUGCUCCUCUUCCUGCCCACUCGUGAGGCUGAAUUUUAGGUGUCAGCUUGACUGGGGCGCGG